Molecule: unclassified non-coding RNA, 334 nt
Filed under: uncultured fungus
Lineage: Eukaryota; Fungi
Description: partial contains small subunit ribosomal RNA, internal transcribed spacer 1, and 5.8S ribosomal RNA
Rfam family: Eukaryotic small subunit ribosomal RNA (bases 1-73)
Source: RNAcentral
GCAAACUUGGUCAUUUAGAGGAAGUAAAAGUCGUAACAAGGUCUCCGUUGGUGAACCAGCGGAGGGAUCAUUACUGAGUUCUACAAAACUCCCAACCCUUUGUGAACCUUACAACUGUUGCCUCGGCUGUGAGCAGUAGCUGCCGGAGCACCUACCCUGGAGGCACCUACCCUGUAGGUGCCUACCCGGGAGGAGCUACCCGGUAGUUGCAACCACGCUCCGCCGGUGGACCAUUAAACUCUUGUCUGUACAGUGUAUCUCUGAAUUCUUAACUAAAUUAGUUAAAACUUUCAACAACGGAUCUCUUGGUUCUGGCAUCGAUGAAGAACGCAGC